Molecule: ribosomal RNA, 405 nt
Filed under: uncultured Fusobacterium sp.
Lineage: Bacteria; Fusobacteriati; Fusobacteriota; Fusobacteriia; Fusobacteriales; Fusobacteriaceae
Description: bacterial SSU rRNA
Rfam family: Bacterial small subunit ribosomal RNA
Source: RNAcentral
UGGGGAAUAUUGGACAAUGGACCAAAAGUCUGAUCCAGCAAUUCUGUGUGCACGAUGACGUUUUUCGGAAUGUAAAGUGCUUUCAGUCGGGAAGAAGCAAGUGACGGUACCGACAGAAGAAGCGACGGCUAAAUACGUGCCAGCAGCCGCGGUAAUACGUAUGUCGCAAGCGUUAUCCGGAUUUAUUGGGCGUAAAGCGCGUCUAGGCGGCAAGGAAAGUCUGAUGUGAAAAUGCGGGGCUCAACUCCGUAUUGCGUUGGAAACUGCCUUACUAGAGUACUGGAGAGGUAGGCGGAACUACAAGUGUAGAGGUGAAAUUCGUAGAUAUUUGUAGGAAUGCCGAUGGGGAAGCCAGCCUACUGGACAGAUACUGACGCUAAAGCGCGAAAGCGUGGGUAGCAAACA